AGAGUUGAUCUGGCUCAGGAUGAACGCUAGCGGGAGGCUUAACACAUACAAGUCGAGGGGUAUAAUUAGCAAUAGUUAGAGACCGGCGCACGGGUGAGUAACGCGUAUGCAACCUGCCCUUUACAGGGGGAUAGCCCGUAGAAAUGCGGAUUAAUACCCCAUAGUUCCCGGAUGCCGCAUGGCGACCGGGAUAAAGUUUCGGUGGUAAAGGAUGGGCAUGCGUGGCAUUAGCUUGUUGGUGAGGUAACGGCCCACCAAGGCUGCGAUGCCUAGGGGUUCUGAGAGGAAGAUCCCCCACACUGGUACUGAGACACGGACCAGACUCCUACGGGAGGCAGCAGUGAGGAAUAUUGGUCAAUGGGCGAGAGCCUGAACCAGCCAUCCCGCGUGCAGGAAGAAUGCCCUAUGGGUUGUAAACUGCUUUUUCGCAUGAAGAACAUCCCGAACGUGUUCGGGACUGACGGUAAUGCGUGAAUAAGCACCGGCUAACUCCGUGCCAGCAGCCGCGGUAAUACGGAGGGUGCAAGCGUUAUCCGGAUUUAUUGGGUUUAAAGGGUGCGUAGGCGGUUAGAUAAGUCAGUGGUGAAAUCCUGCAGCUCAACUGUAGAACAGCCAUUGAAACUGUCUGACUUGAGUGAUCUUGAGGUAGGCGGAAUGUGUAGUGUAGCGGUGAAAUGCUUAGAUAUUACACAGAACACCGAUUGCGAAGGCAGCUUACCAAGGGUUUACUGACGCUGAUGCACGAAAGCGUGGGGAU
RNAcentral lists this ribosomal RNA (757 nucleotides) under uncultured bacterium. RNAcentral describes it as "bacterial SSU rRNA". It matches the Rfam family "Bacterial small subunit ribosomal RNA", at positions 8 to 768 of the family's 1533-position model. The record is from RNAcentral.